Parachaetomium inaequale is the source of this 97-nucleotide non-coding RNA. Lineage: Eukaryota; Fungi; Ascomycota; Sordariomycetes; Sordariales; Chaetomiaceae. The record is from the annotation of a GenBank genome assembly.
GGGUGACUAGUCUAGUGGUCAGGACGUUUCGUUGUGGUUCUGCAUUCAGAUGCCACUGAAGCCCGAAGAAACCCCGGUUCGAUUCCGGGGUCGCCCA